GACGAACGCUGGCGGCGUGCUUAACACAUGCGAGUCGAACGCUGAAGCUCAGCUUUUGUUGGGUGGAUGAGUGGCGAACGGGUGAGUAACACGUGAGUAACCUGCCCCCUUCUUUGGGAUAACGCCCGGAAACGGGUGCUAAUACUGGAUAUUCACUGGUCUUCGCAUGGGGGUUGGUGGAAAGGGUUUUUCUGGUGGGGGAUGGGCUCGCGGCCUAUCAGCUUGUUGGUGGGGUGAUGGCCUACCAAGGCUUUGACGGGUAGCCGGCCUGAGAGGGUGACCGGUCACAUUGGGACUGAGAUACGGCCCAGACUCCUACGGGAGGCAGCAGUGGGGACUAUUGCACAAUGGGCGCAAGCCUGAUGCAGCGUCGCCGCGUGAGGGAUGGAGGCCUUCGGGUUGUGAACCUCUUUCGCUCAUGGUCAAGCCGCAACAAUGGUUGUGGUGAGGGUAGUGGGUAAAGAAGCGCCGGCUAACUACGUG
RNAcentral lists this ribosomal RNA (483 nucleotides) under uncultured bacterium. RNAcentral describes it as "partial 16S ribosomal RNA". It matches the Rfam family "Bacterial small subunit ribosomal RNA", at positions 28 to 507 of the family's 1533-position model. The record is from RNAcentral.